AUGAUCAUCAUAUUCCUCAGCAUAACCUUUAAUAUGAUCCUGGUUUCAGGUUCCUCUCUCAGUGACAAAGUUCACCAGACUCCAGCUGACAUGUACAAGAAGCCAGGAGAAAAAGCCCAACUCAAAUGUUCACACAAUAUUCAGUACUAUGAGAUAAUCCUCUGGUACAGACAGUCAGAGAAUCAACAAAUGCUUCUCCUGGGAUACAUAUAUGGAGGGAAGGAAAAUCUUGAGCCUGGAGUGACUGUCCAGAUGGGUGGAGGUGCAAAUCAAGGCGAGACCAGCACAUUAACAACUGAGGGACUCAGCCUGAACAGCAGUGCAGUGUACUUCUGUGCUGCUAGUUACCACAGUGCUGCUGUGAACAACUACAACCCUGCUUACUUUGGCCAGGGCACCAAACUGACGGUGUUAGAGUAUAACGUCACUGCACCAACUGUCAAAAUACUUCCACCUUCAUCAAAGGAGUGUAAAAACAAGAAGAAGACCUUGGUGUGUGUGGCCUCUGGUUUCUACCCAGACCAUGUGAGUGUGUUCUGGCAGAUCAGCGGGGAAAAUGUCAAGGAUGGUGUGGCGACUGACAACAAUGCCGUAAGGAAAAACGAGUCCUACAGCAUCACCAGCAGGUUGAGGGUCUCGGCCGAAGACUGGCGCUCGCCUGACCGGACUUUCACCUGCACGGUCACCUUCUUUAAUGGAACUGGUUACGAACCCCACUCAGACUCUGUUAAGGGCGCUUUAGGUGAAGGUGAAGGAGAAAGCUUCACAAAAGAGAACUAUGUGAGGACCUCGCAGGCUGGCAAACUCUCCUACGCUGUUUUCCUGGCCAAGAGCAGCUUGUAUGCACUCUUCAUCACCGCUCUGGUGUGGAAACUUAAGAAUUCAUCUGGGAAGCAGAACAACUGAGAGCUGAGCUGAGGCCUAAACAGACGCAUCAGAGGAACUGAGUCUCUUUGUUUCUGUAAAUCAAAUUAAAAACUGCCUUUUUCACAGAGCUCCAGUGCAUUUAUACUCAAUAAUAUUCCUGCUGAAAUAGAUACAGUAUAUGUAAAGCAUGUGAACAGUUUGUUUUUCUGAUUUUCUGAAUACUUAAUCAUGCUGUCUGUUUGUGUGUAACUGUGACUUUCUUUUUGCUUAAUAUUCUACUUAAUAAAAGAUUUUAAAAGCUUA
This is a non-coding RNA of Myripristis murdjan (pinecone soldierfish), 1170 nucleotides long. NCBI's taxonomy places the organism in Eukaryota, Metazoa, Chordata, Actinopteri, Holocentriformes, Holocentridae. The record is from the annotation of a RefSeq genome assembly.